Hordeum vulgare subsp. vulgare (domesticated barley) is the source of this 2251-nucleotide long non-coding RNA. RefSeq lists it as uncharacterized. The transcript is spliced from 6 exons. The record is from RefSeq and is a predicted model, not a curated record. Lineage: Eukaryota; Viridiplantae; Streptophyta; Magnoliopsida; Poales; Poaceae.
AAGAGUGAAAAAAUGAAAAAAAAACCAGCCACCCGAGACCGAAAACAGCUCCCCGCACCAUGUUUCUCUAGCGACCUAAUCCUCUCGCGACCUCACCUCUCGCGCGUAGAGCUAGCUAGGGUUCCCCACCACCGCCGCCCUCCCUUGUCGUCGCCACCAGACUCCCCGGUCGCCACUGCCGGCCUCCCCAAUCGCCGCUGCCGUCGAUCUCCGCUCCCUUCCCGCCCCACCGUGAGCGAGGAGACCGGCGAGUUCGCGCCUCCCUGCCGGUCGCCACCCGCUGCCCCCAAGGAUCAGGGCCGGCCCCCCCCCCGUUCGUGUCGGUCGCCGCUACAGAUCCUUGCCGCCCGCACCCCUUGACCCCGAGCCCCGCCCCCGUCUGGCAGAGUGGUGUCCUCUUCCCAGCCAAAGUCAGCUGAGUCGAAGCAGCACUUGCGAAUCACAAGUCACCGGCCGUCAGCAUUUUUUGGGAUUUUGUAUGUUCACUGCAUCUCUUUCUGGUAGAUGCUCACGCAGUCUUGCUUGACGAAAUUCAUCAUUUUGAUAAUUUGGCAGUUAAUUGACGAGAUGGUUCUUUUCUUAUCCUUAUAGUAUAUGUUUCUGAUGAAUUUCUUGACUAACUCAUUGGGGACAAUAUGUAGAUAUUCCUUCUUUCCUAAAUACAUAUGCUGAAAGGAAAAUGAUUUUACUCCCUCCAUCCGUGAAAGACUACACGUUUAGGCUUCACUUUUCCCCUAAAAGAUUGUACGUCUGCGUUUUCUGGGAUAAUUUUACAUUUUUCCCCUUGGUCUACACCUCGAGGUAACGCGGUGAUAACAACUCAGUCCAUUAAUUUGGUUCAGGCUGCAAGCGAACCCCCAAUCAUCUUGCAUUUUGCUUGUAUUACUAAUUGCUUUGGCCCACAGAAUAAAUGUGGUGGUGUGAAUCCAAGAGUUCUCCUAGCUAGUGGAGUAGCGUAGAUAGGGAAAUAGGUGUUUCUUUGCAAAAUGGUUAAUCUGUCUUAGAAAAUACAGAAGUGCAGUCUUUUGCGGAAGGAGGGAGUAUAUGAGAUAUUGACAGUAGAGAUAUUAAAUACGUAGAAUAAACAUCAGAUGGACCAUACAUAUUUCUUGUAGAGAUUGCCUUCUGGCACAUCGCCAAUGAAUAGCAACGACCAAUCUGAUGGAAUUCAAAACAUGACCUGAAAUAGACAAAAAAAACCAGUCUGAUUAAAUUUUCUUUAGGUUAGAUGUUGAAUUGCGAGAUGAUGUUGUUGAUGUUGUUUAUUAGAUUGUUGUGUGAGUGCUUAUGUUGGUUGUGCCGGUGCUUUUUAUGUGGAGGGAUCUUCUCUUCAUUUUGAGGAGCACCGUCGGUCCAGUUGUCGUUGCCCUCGUCAUUCAACUACUACCUCUACUGUCUAGGGUCUCGUAACCUAGGCAUCUCCCGUUCGAAGGGGCGGAUUGUGGUGUACUGGUGUUCUAAAGAGUAUAUGUUGAAACACAUAGAUUACAAAAAUCGGCGGAAGGCAAUGAAUUAUCCACCACACCAUCAAGGAAACUUGAGCCUUAAGGGAUUCACGAUACAUUGGGCGGCUCACCAGAAGGCUCUGGAGCCCAACCUUUUAUUUAGCCAGACCGCCUACAAUCGGCUAACCUAAGUUAGAGACGUGGCAACAAAGUUGAGAGGACCCGACUAUGAUGUGGCAUCGGAGCCCCUUGACCACGAGUUGGUUAUGAUCGCUGGAGAGGGGAAGAAACAUGGAAAGGAAGCUAUUGCAGGAGACAUGUUUCCUAGGUCCUCCACUCGCACUCUAGCUGAGCACAAGGCUCGGCUAGGUCUCCCAAAAUCUUUUGUAUGUGAACGUGCCACUCCGUGCCUACUCGUGGAGAAGUUCAUAGUGGAGAGGCGACUGGCGGCUGCGGAGAGGGCGGCGGAGAGGGCAGAGGAGAGGCGACUGGCGACUGAGGACUGGGCGGCAGAGAGGACGGAGGAGAGGCGACUGGCUGAUGAGAGGACGCAGCAGGUGUUGUGGGCACAAAAUACUCAAAACUUUCAAAUGUUUAUGGUUAUUUCCUUAAUAUCCUAGCACAAUUCCUUAAUAGCCAACGCAUGUACUCUUUUACUAUCGGUGCUUAACCUUCACCACUCUUAACAUAAUUUGCAGGCUUAUUGUAUCCAGAAUGGUAUGCCUGCUUUCGGUUUUUCUGUCCUUACUCCGCAUCCUAUAGUUAGUUAACUGAAUUAUUUGCAAGGAUCAUUAUUGCAUUUCUUA